CGCGAAGGCAAGCGGAUCUCUUAAAGCUGUUCUCAGUUCGGACUGCAGUCUGCAACUCGACUGCACGAGGCUGGAAUCGCUAGUAAUCGCGGAUCAGCACGCCGCGGUGAAUACGUUCCCGGGCCUUGUACACACCGCCCGUCACACCAUGGAAGUCUGCAAUGCCCGAAGCCGGUGGCCUAACCACUUAUGUGGAAGGAGCCGUCUAAGGCAGGGCAGAUGACUGGGGUGAAGUCGUAACAAGGUACC
Molecule: ribosomal RNA, 249 nt
Filed under: uncultured bacterium
Lineage: Bacteria
Description: partial 16S ribosomal RNA
Rfam family: Bacterial small subunit ribosomal RNA
Source: RNAcentral